GAUGAACGCUGGCGGCGUGCCUAAUACAUGCAAGUCGAGCGAACAGACGAGGAGCUUGCUCCUCUGACGUUAGCGGCGGACGGGCGAGUAACACGUGGAUAACCUACCUAUAAUACUUGGAUAACUUCGUGAAACCGGAGCUAAUACCGGAUAACAUGUCGAACCGCAUGGUUCAACAGUGAAAGACGGUCUUGCUGUCACUUAUAGACGGAUCCGCGCCGCAUUAGCUAGUUGGUAAGGUAACGGCUUACCAAGGCAACGAUGCGUAGCCGACCUGAGAGGGUGAUCGGCCACACUGGAACUGAGACACGGUCCAGACUCCUACGGGAGGCAGCAGUAGGGAAUCUUCCACAAAGGGCGGAAGCCUGACGGAGCAACGCCGCGUGAGUGAAGAAGGUCUUCGGAUCGUAAAACUCUGUUAUUAGGGAAGAACAAAUGUGUAAGUAACUAUGCACGUCUUGACGGUACCUAAUCAGAAAGCCACGGCUAACUUCGUG
Molecule: ribosomal RNA, 497 nt
Filed under: uncultured bacterium
Lineage: Bacteria
Description: partial 16S ribosomal RNA
Rfam family: Bacterial small subunit ribosomal RNA
Source: RNAcentral